Molecule: ribosomal RNA, 445 nt
Filed under: uncultured bacterium
Lineage: Bacteria
Description: partial 16S ribosomal RNA
Rfam family: Bacterial small subunit ribosomal RNA
Source: RNAcentral
GUGAGGAAUAUUGGUCAAUGGGCGAGAGCCUGAACCAGCCAAGUCGCGUGAAGGAAGAAGGAUCUAUGGUUCGUAAACUUCUUUUGCAGGGGAAUAAAGUGCAGGACGUGUCCUGUUUUGUAUGUACCCUGAGAAUAAGGAUCGGCUAACUCCGUGCCAGCAGCCGCGGUAAUACGGAGGAUCCGAGCGUUAUCCGGAUUUAUUGGGUUUAAAGGGUGCGUAGGUGGUUUGAUAAGUCAGCGGGGAAAGUUUGCAGCUUAACUGUAAAAAUGCCGUUGAAACUGUCGGACUUGAGUGUAAAUGAGGGAGGCGGAAUGCGUGGUGUAGCGGUGAAAUGCAUAGAUAUCACGCAGAACUCCGAUUGCGAAGGCAGCUUACUAAGCUACAACUGACACUGAAGCACGAAAGCGUGGGGAUCAAACAGGAUUAGAAACCCCGGUAGUCC